RNAcentral lists this ribosomal RNA (763 nucleotides) under Salmonella enterica. RNAcentral's name for it is "partial 23S ribosomal RNA". It matches the Rfam family "Bacterial large subunit ribosomal RNA", at positions 428 to 1190 of the family's 2925-position model. Lineage: Bacteria; Pseudomonadati; Pseudomonadota; Gammaproteobacteria; Enterobacterales; Enterobacteriaceae. The record is from RNAcentral.
GGUAUCCUGUCUGAAUAUGGGGGGACCAUCCUCCAAGGCUAAAUACUCCUGACUGACCGAUAGUGAACCAGUACCGUGAGGGAAAGGCGAAAAGAACCCCGGCGAGGGGAGUGAAAAAGAACCUGAAACCGUGUACGUACAAGCAGUGGGAGCACAGGUUUACCUGUGUGACUGCGUACCUUUUGUAUAAUGGGUCAGCGACUUAUAUUCUGUAGCAAGGUUAACCGUAUAGGGGAGCCGGAGGGAAACCGAGUCUUAACCGGGCGUUAAGUUGCAGGGUAUAGACCCGAAACCCGGUGAUCUAGCCAUGGGCAGGUUGAAGGUUGGGUAACACUAACUGGAGGACCGAACCGACUAAUGUUGAAAAAUUAGCGGAUGACCUGUGGCUGGGGGUGAAAGGCCAAUCAAACCGGGAGAUAGCUGGUUCUCCCCGAAAGCUAUUUAGGUAGCGCCUCGUGAAUUCAUCUCCGGGGGUAGAGCACUGUUUCGGCUAGGGGGCCAUCCCGGCUUACCAACCCGAUGCAAACUGCGAAUACCGGAGAAUGUUAUCACGGGAGACACACGGCGGGUGCUAACGUCCGUCGUGAAGAGGGAAACAACCCAGACCGCCAGCUAAGGUCCCAAAGUCAUGGUUAAGUGGGAAACGAUGUGGGAAGGCCCAGACAGCCAGGAUGUUGGCUUAGAAGCAGCCAUCAUUUAAAGAAAGCGUAAUAGCUCACUGGUCGAGUCGGCCUGCGCGGAAGAUGUAACGGGGCUAAACCAU